AAGUCGUAACAAGGUAACCGUAGGUGAACCUGCGGUUGGAUCAUUAACAAAUCGAAAGGUCUUCAAGACCUUUUCCAACACUUUGUGAACUGUAAAUGUCUCUUGCGUGUCUUUGCGGCACGCAUAUUUUAAACCCUUGCAAAAAAUUUUGUCUAGAAACUAAUGAAAAAAGUAAUUAAAACAACUUUUGACAACGGAUCUCUAGGCUCUCA
This 212-nucleotide unclassified non-coding RNA is filed under the name fungal sp. RNAcentral's name for it is "partial internal transcribed spacer region". The stretch from base 1 to 46 matches the Rfam family "Eukaryotic small subunit ribosomal RNA", at positions 1786 to 1831 of the family's 1831-position model. The record is from RNAcentral. Lineage: Eukaryota; Fungi.